CAGUAAAGGAACUGAAGAGCUGAGAGAAUCCAAGCAGUUAACUCACUUCUCUUUGGGGAGCCCUCCAGAGAGGUUGGUCUGAGAGAACCUCUGAAUCUUGACCAUCCUUCUGUGAAGCCAGACCUCCUGAAUCCAGUGGAAAACAACAGGAAUGGAUAGCACUGUGAUAUAAAGCUAUCCAUCCCCAGAACCCUCUAAAUGCUCAUCCUAUGGAGAAAAUCUGGGGAUAGUUCUGAACCAUAGCCCUUCUGGGAGACAAGCCCUUUAAUAAAUGGAAUGCACAAAAGAGAGUCCUUGUUGGUCCCCUUACACUACAUCUUCCUAUAUCAUAUUGGAAUGCUACAUGAAAGAGGAGGACAGAUGGAUAAUGAAACAUGCAACCCACUUCCUGACAGAGAGGUAAUAAAGUCAAGAUGCAAUAUAAGGCA
This 428-nucleotide long non-coding RNA is filed under the name Monodelphis domestica (gray short-tailed opossum). RNAcentral describes it as "lncRNA (ENSMODG00000040059.1)". The record is from RNAcentral. Lineage: Eukaryota; Metazoa; Chordata; Mammalia; Didelphimorphia; Didelphidae.